UCUCACUUCUCACUUUCUACGUUGAACACGCCUGCCCUUUCUCAACUCAACCCGUUUCAGAAAAUUUUCCCACUCUCCGAUCUCUCACCCUCUUUGAUCUCUCUCAAAUCCCUAACCCUUUGCCGCCGUCGCCCCUCGCCAAGUUGGGCUCUAUUACCACCCUUAACCCUAGCCUCAUUACUGCUGCCGUCGUCGAGUUGGGUUUAUCGCCGCCGUUGCUGGCUUAAAGUUUAACCUGAAUCUCCACAUAUUGAUGAAUCUUUCCACUGAUCUUCUGCACUCUGUGCCUCUGGGUGUAAAGGAACCUUUUGAAGCAACCCAAGUUUGAGAACAAACAGUAAGACGAGCAGACAAGGUUGAUUUGCUGGUAAAUUAAGAAGGGUGAUUUGGGAUUUGCUCUACCAAAUUCUCAAAGACAAUUAAAGACACAUCUUCCUCUUCUUUCUUCUAUAUUUUGGUUGAUGGGGUGGUUGAAAAUGGAUAUAGGUGCUUCGACAAUAAUGCACAUAACAACUCAUUCAUCUAUGUAAUGAACUUAUGCAGUUGAAUAUCAAGGAUUCAUAUAAGUUUUUGUAUGUUUUA
Molecule: long non-coding RNA, 582 nt
Organism: Quercus robur (English oak)
Lineage: Eukaryota; Viridiplantae; Streptophyta; Magnoliopsida; Fagales; Fagaceae
Exons: 3
Source: RefSeq, a predicted model, not a curated record